GACGUAGGGUGCGAGCGUUGUCCGGAUUUAUUGGGCGUAAAGAGCUCGUAGGCGGCCACUCAAGUCGAAUGUGAAACCUCGAGGCUUAACCUCGAGCCUGCAUUUGAUACUGGGCGGCUAGAGUCUGGUAGGGGGAUCUGGAAUUCCUGGUGUAGCGGUGGAAUGCGCAGAUAUCAGGAGGAACACCGGUGGCGAAGGCGGGAUCCUGGGCCAGUACUGACGCUGAGGAGCGAAAGCGUGGGGAGCAAACAGG
This 253-nucleotide ribosomal RNA is filed under the name uncultured bacterium. RNAcentral's name for it is "partial 16S ribosomal RNA". It matches the Rfam family "Bacterial small subunit ribosomal RNA", at positions 524 to 776 of the family's 1533-position model. The record is from RNAcentral.